UAAUACUCCAUAGAUUAGAGACACUGGAAUGUUCUUUAGUCGAAAGUUCUGGCGCCUUAGGAUGGAUCUGCGGUCGAUUAGGUUGUUGUUGGGGUAACGGCCCAACAAGCCUGUAAUCGAUACGGGUUGUGGGAGCAAGAGCCCGGAGAUGGAAUCUGAGACACGAUUCCAGGCCCUACGGGGCGCAGCAGGCGCGAAAACUUUACAAUGCAGGAAACUGUGAUAAGGGAACUCCGAGUGCCCGUAUACGCGGGCUGUCCAGGUGUUUAAAAAUCAUCUGAAGAAAGGGCCGGGCAAGACCGGUGCCAGCCGCCGCGGUAAUACCGGCGGCUCGAGUGGUGGCCACUAUUAUUGGGCUUAAAGCGUCCGUAGCUGGACCGAUAAGUCUCUUGGGAGAUCCGCCGGCUCAACCGGCGGGCGUCUAAGGGAUACUGUUAGUCUAGGGACCGGGAGAGGUGAGAGGUACUCCGGGGGUAGGAGUGAAAUCCUGUAAUCCCCGGGGGACCACCGAUGGCGAAGGCAUCUCACCAGAACGGCUCCGACAGUGAGGGACGAAAGCUGGGGGAGCGAACCGGAUUAGACUACCGGGUAGUCCCAGCCGUAAACUAUGCGCGUUAGGUGU
Molecule: ribosomal RNA, 622 nt
Filed under: uncultured archaeon
Lineage: Archaea
Description: bacterial SSU rRNA
Rfam family: Archaeal small subunit ribosomal RNA
Source: RNAcentral